This 253-nucleotide ribosomal RNA is filed under the name uncultured prokaryote. Its description in RNAcentral is "partial 16S ribosomal RNA". It matches the Rfam family "Bacterial small subunit ribosomal RNA", at positions 524 to 776 of the family's 1533-position model. The record is from RNAcentral.
UACGGGGGGGGCAAGCGUUGUUCGGAAUUAUUGGGCGUAAAGGGCGCGUAGGCGGUUAGAUAAGUCAGCUGUGAAAACCCGCGGCUUAACUGUGGGCUUGCAGCUGAUACGGGCGGGCUAGAGUUCGGUAGGGGAGACUGGAAUUCCUGGUGUAGCGGUGAAAUGCGCAGAUAUCAGGAGGAACACCGGUGGCGAAGGCGGGUCUCUGGGCCGAUACUGACGCUGAGGAGCGAAAGCGUGGGGAGCGAACAGG